Non-coding RNA from Anaerostipes hadrus, 88 nucleotides. NCBI's taxonomy places the organism in Bacteria, Bacillati, Bacillota, Clostridia, Lachnospirales, Lachnospiraceae. The record is from Rfam.
UUAUUCAUAGGGCAAACCUGUUGAAAGACAGGGACGCAAAGCCAGAAGGGUCUAAGGUCUUAUUGGACUAUGACAGCCGGUUGCCACA